UUAAUUGUGGCUCAAACCUUUUAUAUACAUCUCACCCUAAAACUUGUUUGUGUGGCAAUUUUUGAUUGUCAUUGCACUCAGGUAUACGUAACAGUUUUUUUUUUUGUUACAUUAUCCCCUCCCAUUAUUUUAAUUUUUUUUUUUAAACACAAGUUGAAUUAGGAAUGUAAAAAAAAUGACCUAAUUUGAAAUAACUUUUAACAAUGGAUCUCUAGGCUCUCAUAUCGAUGAAGAACACAGUGAAAUGUGAUAAGUAAUGUGAAUUGCAGAAUUCAGUGAAUCAUUGAAUCUUUGAACGCACCUUGCACCUUUUGGCAUUCCAAAAGGUACACCUGUUUGAGUGUCAUGAAAAUCUCUCAUCAAAUUAAUUUUUGGUGGAUGUUGAGUGCUUGCUGUCUAGCUCACUUUAAAUAUAUAAGUUCUUCCUUAUUUUGUGUUGGAUUGACUUGGUGUAAUAUUAUUUUUUUCAUCAAGGAAAGUGGAAAUACUUGCCAAUAUUCUAAGUUAAAGGGGGGACUCCUAAAUAAAGUAAUAUUUUGAAAUUCUAAAGACCUCAAAUCAGGUGGGACUACCUGCUGAGCUUAAGCAUAUCAAUAAGCGGAGGA
RNAcentral lists this ribosomal RNA (605 nucleotides) under uncultured fungus. Its description in RNAcentral is "eukaryotic LSU rRNA". The stretch from base 193 to 346 matches the Rfam family "5.8S ribosomal RNA". Lineage: Eukaryota; Fungi. The record is from RNAcentral.